GCUUGGCACGGUGGUGUGCACCUAUAGUCCCAGCUACUUGGUGUGGCUUGAGUUCUGGAGUUCUGGGCUGUAGUGUGCUAUGCCAAUGGAGUGUCUGCACAAAGUUCAGCAUCAAUAUGGUGAUCUCUCGGGAGAGAGGGACCACCAGUUGCCUAAGGAGAAGUGAACUGGCCCAGGUUGGAAAAGGAACAGAUCAAAACUCCUGUGCUGAUGAGUAGUGGUAUCUCACCCGUGAAUAGCUGCUGCACUCCAGCCUGGGCAAUAUAGUGAGAU
This is an unclassified non-coding RNA of Pongo abelii (Sumatran orangutan), 273 nucleotides long. It matches the Rfam family "Metazoan signal recognition particle RNA". From Rfam's summary of the family: The signal recognition particle (SRP) is a universally conserved ribonucleoprotein. It is involved in the co-translational targeting of proteins to membranes. Lineage: Eukaryota; Metazoa; Chordata; Mammalia; Primates; Hominidae. The record is from Ensembl.